CAUUAUAUGUGGUUUUUGUCAACUCCCAGUUACAAUUAACGUAACGAGAGAAUGACGGAAGCUUGCAUCCGAACCGCCGUAGAAGCAAUACACUCCUCUCCAUACCAAACCGUUCUCUAUCUCGCUGGCGGAGCUUCUCAGAUUCUGGGUUUGUUACUUUCUGUUCCUGGUGCUUCCAAUACUGUUCUUGAAGCCGUUGUUCCUUAUUCUAGAAUGUCUCUGAUUCAGUUACUGGCCAAGAUUCCAUUGCAUUUUUGUAGUCAACAGACUGCUGACGAUAUGGCUUUAUUGGCUUAUAACCGUGCUCUUAAGCUCUCCUCUCCAGGAUCCCCAGUUAUUGGUGUGGGCUUCACUGGUUCUUUGGCUAGCGGUCGUCCAAAACAUGGGGAACACAGAUUUUAUAUGUCAACAAGGACAGCUGAUCGACUUUGGAUAUCAAAGGUGACCUUGACUAAGGGGCUUCGUACUCGAGAAGAAGAAGACAGAGUUUCUAGUCAUCUUUUGCUCAAGGCUAUUGCAAAUGCAUGCAAGGUUCCUUCAAAUGAUAUUCCGGAGUUAAGUGAAUCAGAUGUAUCCGAUGAAUGUGUAAAGCAAUUUAAUGAAGAUCAAGAGUUAGAGCAACUUAUAAAUGGUCAAAUAUGCUUCAAGAUUUAUCCAUUUAGAAGUGAGAUACCAGCAGAAAGGAAAAUAAUACUGCCUGGUUCUUUCAAUCCUUUACAUGAUGGGCAUAUCAAGCUCAUGGAAGUUGCAACCCGCAUCUGCGGUGAUGGGUAUCCAUGUUUUGAACUAUCUGCGGUCAACGCAGACAAACCUCCAUUAUCAGUGUCUCAGAUCAAAGACCGCGUCAACCAAUUUGAAAAAGUUGGACAGACAGUAAUUAUAUCCAAUCAGCCUUAUUUUUAUAAGAAGGCUGAACUAUUUCCCGGCAGUGCUUUUGUAAUUGGUGCUGACACAGCAGUGAGGCUUAUUAAUCAUUCUAUUUUGAGAUAAUGUGAUUCAAAUACACAGUGAGAUGAUGGAAAGUGGGCCAAUAGAUCCAAAAAGAGAUCAUAGAAUGUCAUCGGUGGUGGAAAUUGUUGAAGAGUUGUGCUUGGCAAAGAGUUAGCAAAUCUUAGGAACGGAUCCCUUCAUCCUAAAUACUAUGAUGGGGACUACAAUAAGAUGCUGAAGAUACUUGGUGGUUGUAAAGAAACAGGAUGCACCUUCCUUGUGGCUGGUCGGAAUGUAGAUGGUGCAUUUAAGGUUCUUGAUGAUUUGAAUGUUCCUGAAGAACUAAAAGACAUGUUCAUCUCCAUUCCAGCUGAACAGUUCCGCAUGGAUAUAUCCUCUACUGAGAUUAGAAAAAAAAGUGGGACGUAGAUAUUUUUAUGGCUGAAGGUCAAUAUAUUAUAGUGAAGGGUGAAAUCGCUUCCUUCAUGAAGCACAGAUCCGCAUUAUAAAAGUGGCGACCUUGUUCCUAUACAUUUUAAAACAAUCGCAGGAGGUACAGUUUUCUGAUCCAAGGUUUUAUGUUCAUCGAACUAUCCUUUUCAUUAUAGUUUCAAAGAGGAGUCAUGUGUGUGCCUGACACUUAUUGAAUACUCAUGCACAAAUAUAAGGACAUGUCCAUUCUUGAAUUUUAGUAUAUUAAUAUCAUGAUGUAUUUUAAAAUAAAUCGAAUGCACCAAUUGAAUUAAAUGAACACUCUUGUUGGGAUUUGUUAACUGGUGUGGUCUACUUUCAAAGGGAAAAAAAAUUGAGUCAUGUUGCCAAAUUGUGGUAACUUUUAUUCUGGGAAUAUUUUUUAUAAA
Medicago truncatula (barrel medic) is the source of this 1790-nucleotide RNA transcript. RefSeq lists it as uncharacterized. The record is from RefSeq and is a predicted model, not a curated record. The transcript has 12 exons. NCBI's taxonomy places the organism in Eukaryota, Viridiplantae, Streptophyta, Magnoliopsida, Fabales, Fabaceae.